GAGGUGAUAUCAAGCAACGACGCACCAAAUUAGGAAAACCUCAGGCAUGAAACCACAGCAGUCCUGGCCACGCUCUGUGGACAGCAGCUUUGCCCCACUCAAGGAAAAGCUGUUGACAAGGUGCAACCACCAGGACAUGAGUGAGGACAGGACCCAAGACCCCUAAAAGGACAGCGCUGGGAGCCCCGUGAAGUCAUCAUCACAGGUCACUGUGCAUUCCAGCAGCCCCAUCAACCAAAGGAAUAAGUGACAAAGGGGAGGAAUGAGUGUUUAUUAAGGUGUAUUGUGGACUGCGUGCCAAGCACGCCAGAACUUCCCAGCCGGCUGCAGCGUGCGCUCCUGUCCGCGUUUCCCGCCCGAGCAGCUGGAGGCUCAGCGAGCUAUGUGCCCAGCGUCUCCAGCUAGCAAGUAAGAGGAACAGAAUUUGAACUUGCUCGACCUGACUCCAGAGUCUGCACAUUUUUCCCUGCCGAGCACUAUCUCACUGUAAGCCACUUUAGAUCAUCAGAUGGGAAAAAGGACGAUGCAGGGAGUGAGCGGGACUCCCUCAAAUCACUGCUUUAGAUUUCUCUCUUCCACAUCUGGGUCUCCUCCCUAAAGGCCCCCCCUUCUCUGUGCCCUGGCCAAGGGCAGGCAGAUGGGUGCUUGCCUCUUCUGCUCAGGCUCCGAUUGCAGCCGGAGGAGCCUCUUCCCGGACUCGCUCCGGGCCCCAAGGUGCCCCCGCCCCCUCCCCUGGUCCUCCCUCUCCUCCUCGGGGCACCGGAUUUCCAGCGACCUUCAGAUCUGAUACAUGGAACGUCCCCAAAGGAUGCUCCCAUUGACAUUGAGCGUGCUGCUGUGUGGAGCUCAGCAAUAAAAGGGGGAAAUUAACAGGCAUUUAAAUUCUAAAAUUAAUGAUGAGAGGGCAGAGUCUUCAGAACAUCUGUUUCCAGCAUUUUCAAGGGGGUCUUCCAUUGCUGCCGGCACUCAGCCGUGUGUGGCGAUCAGCAGUUAAGUGGGACUCUGCACAUCUGUGGCUGGAGGCCAGGGGCUGGACAGUGUGGCUCAGUCCCUGUACCCAUGUGCCCUGUGGCUCGCUCUGAACAUUGUGUCCCCUGCAUGUUGGGGUCCCAGCCUGUGGGCUGGCUUCCAUGAGCCUGUAUGGAAAACCUGAGUCUGUCUUUUUCCAGGAGUAAGAGCUCUGGGAAACUGAGGGUGCAACAAAGAAGUCCUCAUGCCAAAGAAGGGGACUUGAUCCUUCCUAGAUUUAUACUGCCCAAUGUGGCAGCCACCAGCAACAUGUAGCCACGGAGUACCCGAAACAUGGCCCGUCUGAACUGAGAUGUGCUGCACAUGUAAACAUACCCACUGGAUUUCGAAGACUCAUUUUUAUAUUGAUUAUGUUGAUGAAAUGAUAAUAGUUUGGAUAUAUUGGGUUAAAUGAAAUAUAUUUUUAAAGUUAAUUUCAGUGGUUACAUUUUACUUUCUUUUUAACGUAGCUACUACAGAUUCAAAAUUACAUAGGUGGCUCACACACUUCUAUAAGACACUUUUGCUUUAGAGUUUGUUUUACCUUGGUGUUUCUCUGUGCAUGGCAGUUUCCACCCCUGGAAGACCUUUUGGAAAUUUUGGGAAAUUCUUUGAUAUCGCAUUGACCAGAGGAGGAGCUUACCAACAGUACAGUGUUGGGCACGAGGAAUGUGGGACGUCUCACACUUACCGCUGCAAAGCAAUGCAGCGCAACAGAAGAAUUAUCCCACGACCUGCAUCAUUUUGAAUAUCCCGACAGACAUUAGGUAGUCGAAAAAUUGGUUAUAUUAAUAUUUAUCUGAGCCUAGAUCAAACUCCAUUUUAUAA
Long non-coding RNA from Microcebus murinus (gray mouse lemur), 1836 nucleotides. RefSeq lists it as uncharacterized. Lineage: Eukaryota; Metazoa; Chordata; Mammalia; Primates; Cheirogaleidae. The record is from RefSeq and is a predicted model, not a curated record.